AAGUCCCGUAACGAGCGCAACCCUUAUCAAUAGUUGCCAGCGGUUCGGCCGGGCACUCUAUUGAGACUGCCGUUGACAAAACGGAGGAAGGUGGGGAUGACGUCAAGUCCUCAUGGCCUUUAUGUCCAGGGCUACACACGUGCUACAAUGGCAAGUACAAACCGCUGCAAACCAGCAAUGGGGAGCCAAUCGGAAAAAGCUUGUCUCAGUUCGGAUUGGAGUCUGCAACUCGACUCCAUGAAGCUGGAAUCGCUAGUAAUCGCGGAUCAGCACGCCGCGGUGAAUACGUUCACGGGCCUUGUACACACCGCCCGU
This 315-nucleotide ribosomal RNA is filed under the name uncultured soil bacterium. RNAcentral's name for it is "bacterial SSU rRNA". It matches the Rfam family "Bacterial small subunit ribosomal RNA", at positions 1082 to 1397 of the family's 1533-position model. The record is from RNAcentral.